CGCGUAGGCGGCCUUUUAAGUCUUGUGUGAAAUCCCUCGGCUCAACUGAGGAACUGCACGGGAUACUGGAAGACUUGAGUUCGGGAGAGGGAAGCGGAAUUCCGGGUGUAGCGGUGAAAUGCGUAGAUAUCCGGAGGAACACCGGUGGCGAAGGCGGCUUCCUGGACCGAUUACUGACGCUGAGGCGCGAAAGCUAGGGGAGCAAACG
RNAcentral lists this ribosomal RNA (208 nucleotides) under uncultured bacterium. RNAcentral's name for it is "partial 16S ribosomal RNA". It matches the Rfam family "Bacterial small subunit ribosomal RNA", at positions 568 to 774 of the family's 1533-position model. The record is from RNAcentral.